Molecule: non-coding RNA, 94 nt
Filed under: Escherichia coli
Lineage: Bacteria; Pseudomonadati; Pseudomonadota; Gammaproteobacteria; Enterobacterales; Enterobacteriaceae
Also listed under: 29 other names
Description: partial 23S ribosomal RNA
Rfam family: Bacterial large subunit ribosomal RNA
Source: RNAcentral
GGAACGUUGAAGACGACGACGUUGAUAGGCCGGGUGUGUAAGCGCAGCGAUGCGUUGAGCUAACCGGUACUAAUGAACCGUGAGGCUUAACCUU